GACAGAGGGGGCAAGCGUUGCUCGGAAUCACUGGGCGUAAAGGGCGCGUAGGCGGGAUGGCAAGUCGGUCGUGAAAUCCUUCGGCUCAACCGAAGAACGUCGGCCGAUACUGCCGUUCUUGAGGGAUGCAGAGGAGAUUGGAAAUUCCCGGUGUAGCGGUGAAAUGUGUAGAGAUCGGGAGGAACACCGGUGGCGAAGGCGGGGUCUCUGGGCAUCUCCUGACGCUGAGGCGGCGAAAAGCGUGGGGAGCAAACGGGG
This 258-nucleotide ribosomal RNA is filed under the name uncultured bacterium. RNAcentral describes it as "partial 16S ribosomal RNA". It matches the Rfam family "Bacterial small subunit ribosomal RNA", at positions 524 to 777 of the family's 1533-position model. The record is from RNAcentral.